CUCCGCCCCCCUGCUCAAUCUUGCUGAAGGGUUUUUUGACUACUUCCUGUUGCUUCAGCUCACUCUGCAAACAGAGAUUCACUUCCCACUGAGACUCGAGGCCAUCCGAACCUUCAACAGCGUGCUGGAGGUGCUGAGCCGGGAACAGAGGCGACUCAUCCAGAAUGACCACAAUCACAGCCAAA
This is a long non-coding RNA of Archocentrus centrarchus (flier cichlid), 185 nucleotides long. RefSeq lists it as uncharacterized. The transcript is spliced from 3 exons. Lineage: Eukaryota; Metazoa; Chordata; Actinopteri; Cichliformes; Cichlidae. The record is from RefSeq and is a predicted model, not a curated record.